Molecule: long non-coding RNA, 920 nt
Organism: Triticum aestivum (bread wheat)
Lineage: Eukaryota; Viridiplantae; Streptophyta; Magnoliopsida; Poales; Poaceae
Exons: 2
Source: RefSeq, a predicted model, not a curated record
UCUGGCCUAUUUUUGAGUUUUGUAUUUUUAUUAUGGUCUGUGGCCCACAAGUUAGGGGGAAUUAUGGUCACGCCGUUAGCUAUCUCAGGCGCGGAUCAGGAAGAAGAUCAUGUGUUGAGCCGGUUCCAGUGAGAUCCUGGACUAACGCCGUCACACACCUCAUUAAAUGUAUCCAACCGUUGCAGCUACCAGGCUUCUUGCGUACGCUUAUCCACUUGAUAACUCCCCCCAUCCAGCCGAGCUCCCAGCCAGAUCCUCAGCUCAACCACAAAUCAAUCAGCCGAUUUUCACAACUCAAAGGCAGCAUAGACAUGUCUGCAUCUUCAUCUUCGACGGGGCGCGAUGAUAUCCUGCCCCUCGUUCCAUGCAAGGAUUGCAAGGCCCGGUAUACACCUGGAUUGCUCGCAGCGGAGUAAACGCCGGCCAUCGCUUCUACAAGUGCGUUAAUAGGGAUAAGGGGAUUUGUGGAUACAUGACGUCGAGCGAGGAGUAUCGGGCGGAGCUGAAUGCAGACACGCUUGCCACUGCUGAAGACUCGCCUCAUCAGGCCGCAUCUUACAUGCACCGGAGAGCCAGGGCAGGUGAAUCAAUGGAGGAAUGGAGCCGUGGAGUCGUGCUUGUGAGGAAUGGCCCCGAUGAGCACCCCGAAUGGAAAGGGCACGCUCGGUUGAGCACAGGAGGAAGAGCCUCGUCCACGUCAAGCGUCCUUAUUGCACUAGUUGCUGCCAUCUUGGUGGUUGUGGUGUUUAUGUUAGCAGUUCUAGUCAAGAUAGCGUAUCUGCUUAGCAGGUAGAAGAACUAGUUAGCGCAUCAUGUUCAUCAGUUAUCCUGUUCGUCAGUUAUCUGUGUGGUGCUAAGUUAAAUCCUUGUAAUCGAGCAUGCAUGAUAGCAAUAAAUCAGGUCCCUGGGUUUCAAUUUGA